UGCUGGCUGUCACAGCGACGGUCCCUGCUCUCAGGGACCUGCACGUUAGUUGAGCGGUGAGCUGAGUCCGCACAGGCUGGGUUCUGGCUCUUCCCCGGAUCCCUCUGGACAGGCAGGCGAGAGACGUCUCCAUCCUCGGAAGGCCUGGCCGGCAGCCCAGGGGGAGGGGCUGGGCGGGAGAGGGAGGGGGCGGAGGCUCCUCGCCAGUUAACGGGUCCCCUCUUCCCGGCUCUGCCAGUGGAUCCUCUGCUGCCCCUCUGUCCCAGGCCUGCCGUCAAGGUGUCUGGUCUACAGUGCCGUGGGGCUUACCGGAGGGCGCUGAGGAUGAGCAGAUUUCCAGGCCCCAAGCGCAGCCAUUCCAACCCCGAGAUCUGGAAUGGGCCCAGGGAGUCUGCAUUUUGAACAAUCCCCCAAGCCAGGACACAGUCCUGAGGCAGAAGGCGCCCCAGGAGGGAUCCUGCGGACCCUCCACUGACCCUAAGUGUCCAGGAGAUCUACUAGAAAUCCGAAAAUGACUGCAGUGGCUCACGAUCUAUUUCUAUUGGAUAGCACUGCUCUUGACCUCCCCAAAAGAAUGGGCCCCGGCGCACACAACUCCAUCCUACCUGGCCGUGCUCCUUCACUCUCUCUUUCCGAGCUAAACGGGCCCUAGAGAAGGGGGUCUAUCCAGCCUCUCCAGCCCCAGGCCCCAGACGCACACAGACCCAUCUGGUGAGAACCCAUAGCCUCGAAGUCCGGAUUUUUUCCAAAAAGAUCUGGACUUGACCCAGCCUGCUAUAAAGCUUCAGAAAAAAAAAAAAAAAAAAAAUCAGGGGCACCUGGCUGGCUCAGUCAGAGGAGCACCUGACUCUUGAUCUCAGAGUUGUG
This is a long non-coding RNA of Zalophus californianus (California sea lion), 867 nucleotides long. RefSeq lists it as uncharacterized. The record is from RefSeq and is a predicted model, not a curated record. Lineage: Eukaryota; Metazoa; Chordata; Mammalia; Carnivora; Otariidae. The transcript is spliced from 3 exons.